RNAcentral lists this ribosomal RNA (460 nucleotides) under uncultured bacterium. Its description in RNAcentral is "partial 16S ribosomal RNA". It matches the Rfam family "Bacterial small subunit ribosomal RNA", at positions 338 to 795 of the family's 1533-position model. The record is from RNAcentral.
CCUACGGGGGGCAGCAGUGAGGAAUAUUGGUCAAUGGACGGAAGUCUGAACCAGCCAUGCCGCGUGCAGGAAGACGGCUCUAUGAGUUGUAAACUGCUUUUGUACAAGGGUAAACCUGAAUACGUGUAUUCAGCUGAAAGUACUGUACGAAUAAGGAUCGGCUAACUCCGUGCCAGCAGCCGCGGUAAUACGGAGGAUCCAAGCGUUAUCCGGAUUUAUUGGGUUUAAAGGGUGCGUAGGCGGAUUGAUAAGUUAGAGGUGAAAUGCCCGGGCUUAACUCGGGAACUGCCUUUAAUACUGGUGGUCUAGAGAGUAGAUGCGGUAGGCGGAAUGUAUGGUGUAGCGGUGAAAUGCUUAGAGAUCAUACAGAACACCGAUUGCGAAGGCAGCUUACCAAUCUAUAUCUGACGUUGAGGCACGAAAGCGUGGGGAGCAAACAGGAUUAGAUACCCCUGUAGUC